RNAcentral lists this ribosomal RNA (497 nucleotides) under uncultured bacterium. RNAcentral describes it as "partial 16S ribosomal RNA". It matches the Rfam family "Bacterial small subunit ribosomal RNA", at positions 28 to 507 of the family's 1533-position model. The record is from RNAcentral.
GAUGAACGCUGGCGGCGUGCCUAAUACAUGCAAGUCGAGCGAACAGACGAGGAGCUUGCUCCUCUGACGUUAGCGGCGGACGGGUGAGUAACACGUGGAUAACCUACCUAUCAGACUGGGAUAACUUCGGGAAACCGGAGCUAAUACCGGAUAAUAUAUUGAACCGCAUGGUUCGAUAGUGAAAGACGGUUUUGGUGUCACUUCUCGAUGGUUCCGCGCCGCAUGAGCUGGUUGGUACGGUAAAGGCCUACCAAGGCUACGAGGCGUAGCCGACGUGUCGGGGUGAUCGGCCGCACGGGAGGGGAACCGCGGUCCAGGGGCCUACGGGAGGCACCAGUAGGGAAUCUGCGGCAAUGGGCGGAAGCUUGGCGGAGUGGCGCCGCGUGAGUGAUGGCGGUCUUGGGUGCGUAAAGCUCUGUUAUUAGGUGUAAACAAAUGUGGAAGGUGCUGUGGAGGGAGUGACGGUACCUGGUAAAGAAGCAACGGCUAACUACGUG